GACGAACGCUGGCGGCGUGCUUAACACAUGCAAGUCGAACGGAAAGGCCCUGCUUUUGUGGGGUGCUCGAGUGGCGAACGGGUGAGUAACACGUGAGUAACCUGCCCUUGACUUUGGUAUAACUUCAGGAAACUGGGGCUAAUACCGUAUAGGAGCUCCUGCUGCAUGGUGGGGGUUGGAAAGUUUCGGCGGUUGGGGAUGGACUCGCGGCUUAUCAGCUUGUUGGUGGGGUAGUGGCUUACCAAGGCUUUGACGGGUAGCCGGCCUGAGAGGGUGACCGGCCACAUUGGGACUGAGAUACGGCCCAGACUCCUACGGGAGGCAGCAGUGGGGAAUAUUGCACAAUGGGCGGGAGCCUGAUGCAGCGGCGCCGCGUGCGGGAUGACGGCCUUUGGGUUGUAAACCGCUUUCGCCUGUGACGAAGCGUGAGUGACGGUAAUGGGUAAAGAAGCACCGGCUAACUACGUG
RNAcentral lists this ribosomal RNA (468 nucleotides) under uncultured bacterium. Its description in RNAcentral is "partial 16S ribosomal RNA". It matches the Rfam family "Bacterial small subunit ribosomal RNA", at positions 28 to 507 of the family's 1533-position model. The record is from RNAcentral.